RNAcentral lists this ribosomal RNA (253 nucleotides) under uncultured bacterium. RNAcentral's name for it is "partial 16S ribosomal RNA". It matches the Rfam family "Bacterial small subunit ribosomal RNA", at positions 524 to 776 of the family's 1533-position model. The record is from RNAcentral.
UACAGAGGUCUCAAGCGUUGUUCGGAUUCAUUGGGCGUAAAGGGUGCGUAGGCGGCGGGGCAAGUCGGAUGUGAAAUCUCAGGGCUCAACCCUGAAACUGCAUUCGAUACUGCUCUGCUCGAGGACUGGAGAGGAGAUUGGAAUUCACGGUGUAGCAGUGAAAUGCGUAGAUAUCUGGAGGAACACCGGUGGCGAAGGCGGCGUCCUGGACCAACACUGACACUGAUGAGCGAAAGCCAGGGGAGCAAACGGG